This is a long non-coding RNA of Drosophila montana, 388 nucleotides long. RefSeq lists it as uncharacterized. The record is from RefSeq and is a predicted model, not a curated record. The transcript is spliced from 2 exons. Lineage: Eukaryota; Metazoa; Arthropoda; Insecta; Diptera; Drosophilidae.
UGAGCUAGUUGCCAGAUAAAUGCUUCAGUUUCGUAGCAGGCUUUUGCCUCAAGCGUCAAUGUUGUACUUUCGUUUCCAUAUUCACAAACUCAACACUUCCCCCCAACUAACUUUAAGUGGAACUCCAAAUUUUUUUUCGUAUUUUCUAAACGGUCUCUUUUUGUAUUAUAAUAAUGCAGCGUUUUCUGACGUUCAUUAUUGGAGGCAUUUGCGGCUACCUUAUUGCGAAACACCGCUAAGCCCCAGCUGCCUUCAAAGGAAUUCUACUUGCUGCUCAAUUAAUGACAUAACUUUGGAUGCCAAACCGCCUUAACGUUUAAUUUCUACGUCUCGGUUUUGUAGUCAAAUUAUUAACAUUUCAACAUCAAAAUAAGCAUGGGCUUCUCUC